CCAAAGGCUCUUUUAAGAGCCGCCCACAUAUUUCUGUAGAAGAGCU
Molecule: non-coding RNA, 46 nt
Organism: Calypte anna (Anna's hummingbird)
Lineage: Eukaryota; Metazoa; Chordata; Aves; Apodiformes; Trochilidae
Source: Rfam